UAAAAAAUUAUAUCAUAAACUAUUGUACAUAAAAAUUUGAUGUAUAGAUAUAAACCACUGUACAGAUGUAUCUGUAUAGUGAUGUACAGAUAUAUUUGUACACCACAUCUGUACAGUGGUAUCUGUACAGUGGUGUACAGAUAUAAGCCAUUUACAUAUAUAGAUACAAAUUAAUAUAGAUGAAUAAACAACUAUACAAAUAAGUACAAAAAUUACUCUUUGUCUUUGUGUUAUUUUUUGUUUCUGGUAUUUUAACAAAAUAGUUUUCUUAUUCUCUUUAUUCAAUUGUAUCUGUACAGUAGUAUCUGUACAGUGGUGUACAGAUACAUCUGUACAGAUAUAAAUUACUGUACAGAUAUAAGGUAUUUACAUAUAUGGAUAUAAAUUAUUAUAGAUGAAUAAACAACUGUACAAAUAAGUACAAAAAUUACUUUUUGUCUUUGUGUUCUUUUUUGUUUCUGGUAUUUCAACAAUAUAGUUUUUUUAUUCUCUCUAUUCAAUUGGUUUAGAGACUAGCUAAUAUGCUUAUUUAUUUUCCAUGGUUUGUGGUUGUGAGAGGAGAGGUUGUGGUUAAACACAAAAUAACGUGAAUCGAAUAUAAACAAUGAUAUUACCAGCAGUGACAAAUAUCACAUAAAAAUUGAAUCCGAACAUAGCCAGUUAGUAUAUACAUGAUUCGAAGCCAACUACAAAUUUCUGAAUUAGCAACCAUAAUAAUGUAUAGAUAGAAAUCAACCUGCGACUAAAUUAUUGAUUGACGAGCAGAAAACCUAACUUCAAAGAGAGAAAAAAAGAAAUGCAUAGUAAUAUCUGUACAGUGGUCUAUAUCUGUACAGUAGUCUAUACCUGUACAGUGCUCAGUAAUAUAAAAUUUAAAAAUUAUUAAACAAAAUGCAUAUCAAAUGAUUGAGAAAAAAACAUAAAUUUUUAUGUAUAUGAUCUAUUUUGGAAAAAUAAAUUUUACAAACGAGCAUUUUAAUUCUUAAAAUUGAAGGGAAUGAAAUAUAAUAUAUUAAAAAAAGGAAAAUAUAAAAAAAACGGACCCACACUCUAGUUCUUUCACACGCUUUCUCUCUCUCCAUAAAACCUCUCUUCUAUUGUUUUAGUGACAUGAAUGUAAAUAGAUGAUUUUAUAAGUGGCAAAAACGAACUCACCAUAAAGCCAACAGUAACAUAUAUAGUACAAACCCAAUAUUAAAUAGGAACCGUACUAUUUUCUAAUUAUUUUCCCAAAACGUACUAAUUUUCAAACAAACUCUUAUAUUAUCUAUAGUUUUCUUAUUUAAAAAUUCGAAAUAUUUAAUUUUAGCAAGUUUAGUUAACAAAAAUAAGUAGUAUAUCGAAAUAAUAAUGUUUGGCACGAUGAAUAGUAAAAUU
Molecule: small RNA, 1377 nt
Filed under: Arabidopsis thaliana (thale cress)
Lineage: Eukaryota; Viridiplantae; Streptophyta; Magnoliopsida; Brassicales; Brassicaceae
Description: ATSL059990
Source: RNAcentral